CUAAACCUGAGGCAGGUGUAAAUUUACUCUGUCCCAACACAGCAGGCACAAAAGGACUCUGAUUCCUAUACUAGAGCUUCCAGCUGAGACCUUGGCUGAGGAGUUGCCUCUGCAUAGACAUACAAGAACAGGCUUUAGGUUUUAGUAUUUUUUUACAUAAAGGUCUGGAUACAGUGCAAGUUGCUAACGGCACAUGGACCUAAUCUGAGGCAGCCCAGCUUCUGGAGUCUGCAGGCUGAAUUAGUUGAAAAGGACUUAAGACACAUUGCCCAAAUAUGAGGCUUUUUUUAGAUGUGUCACAUACCCAGAGCUGGUGACGAGGGAGCUGAAGUGGGAGUGCGUCAAGACGACGUUUGUGGCAGCACACUCUGUAGCACAGCCUGCGUUGGCUCACUUGCUAGGCAACCUCUGAAUGCUGCCUUUCUCAAGUGUUUGGGAGGAGGUGAGCUGAUCUCCUU
Molecule: long non-coding RNA, 458 nt
Filed under: Cyanistes caeruleus (blue tit)
Lineage: Eukaryota; Metazoa; Chordata; Aves; Passeriformes; Paridae
Description: lncRNA (ENSCCEG00000018281.1)
Source: RNAcentral